Molecule: ribosomal RNA, 468 nt
Filed under: uncultured bacterium
Lineage: Bacteria
Description: partial 16S ribosomal RNA
Rfam family: Bacterial small subunit ribosomal RNA
Source: RNAcentral
GACGAACGCUGGCGGCGUGCUUAACACAUGCAAGUCGAACGGAAAGGCCCUGCUUUUGUGGGGUGCUCGAGUGGCGAACGGGUGAGUAACACGUGAGUAACCUGCCCUUGACUUUGGGAUAACUUCAGGAAACUUGGGCUAAUCCCGGAUAGGAGCUCCUGCUGCAUGGUGGGGGUGGGAAAGUUUCGGCGGUUGGGGAGGGACUCGCGGCUUAUCGGGUUGAUGGUGGGGUAGUGGGUUACCAAGGCUUUGACGGGUAGCCGGCCUGAGCGGGUGACCGGCCACAUUGGGACUGGGAUACGGCCCAGCCUCCUACGCGAGGCAGCAGUGGGGUAUGUUGCACAAUGGGAGGAAGCCUGAUGCAGCACCGCCGCGUGCGGGAUGACGGCCUGCGGUUUGUAAUCCGCUUUCGCCUGUGCCGAAGCGUGAGUGACGGUAAUGGGUAAAGAAGCACCGGCUAACUACGUG